Molecule: ribosomal RNA, 459 nt
Filed under: uncultured bacterium
Lineage: Bacteria
Description: partial 16S ribosomal RNA
Rfam family: Bacterial small subunit ribosomal RNA
Source: RNAcentral
UCUACGGGAGGCUGCAGUGAGGAAUAUUGGUCAAUGGGCGCAAGCCUUAACCAGCCAAGUCGCGUGAAUGAAGACGGUCCUCGGGAUUUUAAGCCUCUUUAGUCGGGGAGCAAAAGACGCCACUCGUGGCGUUCCGAGAGUCGCCGAAGUAAAAGCAUCGGAAAACUCCGUUCCAGCAGCCGCGGUAAUACGGGGGAGUCGAUCGGUAUCCGGAUUUAUUGGGGUUAAUGGGUGCGGAGGCGGAAGAUCACGUCAGCGGUAAAAUGGAGAGGCUCAACCAGUUCGAGCCGUUGAAACUGGUAUUCUUGAGUGAGCGAGAAGUAUGCGGAAUGCGUGGUGUAGCGGUGAAAUGCAUAGAUAUCACGCAGAACUCCGGUUGCGAAGGCAGCAUACCGGCGCUCAACUGACGCUCAGGCACGAAAGUGUGGGUAGCGAACAGGAUUAGAUACCCCUGUAGUC